Molecule: long non-coding RNA, 311 nt
Organism: Vespula vulgaris
Lineage: Eukaryota; Metazoa; Arthropoda; Insecta; Hymenoptera; Vespidae
Exons: 3
Source: RefSeq, a predicted model, not a curated record
GGGAAUCAUCCCUUCAAAGGAUCGAUAGGGAAGCGGCUUCAGUAAGAGGAUAGAAUCGAUUGCGUUGGGAAAGGUUUAUCGAAGGAACGUCCAACUGUUCAUACGGAUCAUGGGUCAAAGUUGAAUUUUUGCUCUAAUGAGGGAACAUUCCUUCGUAGAAAAAUUAGGGACGAUAAGGAAAACCUUAGGGCGAUUAAUAGUGAUUCCGAAAAAGAAGUUCUGCGAAUCAAUAUUGAAGAAGAAGAAGAAGAGGAUGAAGAUGAAGAAGGAGAUACAGGGGAUGAAGUAGUAGAGGUAUGUUUUAAUAGGAA